ACACGUAGGCACCAAGCGUUAUCCGGAUUUAUUGGGCGUAAAGAGCUCGUAGGCGGUUCAGUCAGUCGGGUGUGAAAACUUGAGGCUUAACCUCAAGAGGUCACUCGAUACUACUGUGACUAGAGUGCGGUAGGGGAGCGGGGAAUUCCUGGUGUAGCGGUGAAAUGCGCAGAUAUCAGGAGGAACACCAGUGGCGAAGGCGCCGCUCUGGGCCGUAACUGACGCUGAGGAGCGAAAGCAUGGGUAGCAAACAGGAUUAGAUACCCUGGUAGUCCAUGCCGUAAACGUUGGGCACUAGGUGUGGGUCUCAACCAACGAGAUCCGCGCCGUCGCUAACGCAUUAAGUGCCCCGCCUGGGGAGUACGGUCGCAAGACUAAAACUCAAAGGAAUUGACGGGGCCCGCACAAGCGGUGGAGCAUGUGGUUUAAUUCGAUGAUACGCGAGGAACCUUACCAGGGCUUAAAUGUAGUAUGACCGGCUUGGAAACAGGCCUUCUCUUCGGAGCAGAUUACAAGG
This 517-nucleotide ribosomal RNA is filed under the name uncultured Acidimicrobiales bacterium. Its description in RNAcentral is "bacterial SSU rRNA". It matches the Rfam family "Bacterial small subunit ribosomal RNA", at positions 523 to 1038 of the family's 1533-position model. Lineage: Bacteria; Bacillati; Actinomycetota; Acidimicrobiia; Acidimicrobiales. The record is from RNAcentral.